UGUGCUUGGGCAGGGGAGUGAGCACAGGCAAAGAAGAAAACAGAAUACAUGCCCAGAAAAUCUUCUUCACAUUCAGCUGUAAUCCUGGACCCAAUUUUAAAGAUUAUUUAAACAUGCCUUUAAUUCUGAGGCUUUCCUAUGUAGGACUUUUCUUCACUGCUCAACGGGAAAAAGAAUGACAAUGUGCUAGAAAUUGAGAAGAAGCUUCAUAUGUUCAAAGAUGCUGCUCCCGGCCUUUCGUUCAGCAGAGAGAGGAAAUAAAGCAACAUCUACAAAAUGUUUGUUUGGAAGCAACAUAAGUUCUCUUGGACACCUGAAAGGCUCCUGCCCUCCCAUCUUCCUA
Molecule: long non-coding RNA, 343 nt
Organism: Ficedula albicollis (Collared flycatcher)
Lineage: Eukaryota; Metazoa; Chordata; Aves; Passeriformes; Muscicapidae
Exons: 3
Source: RefSeq, a predicted model, not a curated record